GCGUGUCGACGAAGAUCGUCCCGCGCCGUCGACCGGAGGCGGUGCCGUACUCCUCGUGACCAUUGACCAGCAGCGGUUGGGCCGGAGCCACAAGGCAGCAGUGGAAGGUGAGUCGGUGUGAGCCCGUCUUGCAUUGACAGCUUAUAGCCCUGUCUGUACGGUGCUCCGGCGUGACCGAGGAAGCCGGGCAGCCCUUGCCCAUUGUGGUGCACGCCGAAUGGCGGGGCCUCCCGACAGGAGCAAACCGUGCGGUGUGGACUGCAUGCAGUGCUCACUGUUGCGGUGAACUCGUGCCGGAGAGUGCCACUGGUGUGCCAGUGCUGCUGGUGUUCAGAU
Molecule: unclassified non-coding RNA, 336 nt
Filed under: Hyrtios erectus
Lineage: Eukaryota; Metazoa; Porifera; Demospongiae; Dictyoceratida; Thorectidae
Description: sequence contains 28S rRNA gene
Source: RNAcentral